AUUUGUUACAGCAUUGGCACAUCCUUCACACAUCAUUUCUACAUUGAAUUCGUAUACCUUCAAUUUACAUUAUUUAAUUAAUAUUUUAUUAUUGUAGUAAAUUGACAAUUAAAUUACCUGAGAUGCCAUAUCGAUAAUUAUACAUUAUGAUGUGCUGAUCGUAUUGCAUGAUUUGCCACAACAAAUUCUGUGAGAGUUACAUCUGCUGUUCCACCAGAUUCAAGAGGUAUGGCAUUCUGACGAAAAUGUUCAAGCAUAUCAUAUAUAGCAGGAAAACAAA
Molecule: long non-coding RNA, 280 nt
Organism: Apis mellifera (honey bee)
Lineage: Eukaryota; Metazoa; Arthropoda; Insecta; Hymenoptera; Apidae
Exons: 2
Source: RefSeq, a predicted model, not a curated record